CAUGGCUCAGGAUGAACGCUGGCUACAGGCUUAACACAUGCAAGUCGAGGGGAAACGACGGGGAAGCUUGCUUCCCCGGGCGUCGACCGGCGCACGGGUGAGUAACGCGUAUCCAACCUGCCUCUGACUGAGGGAUAACCCGUCGAAAGUCGGCCUAAUACCUCAUGGCAUCGUCUGCGGGCAUCCAACGACGAUUAAAGAUUUCAUCGGUCAGGGAUGGGGAUGCGUCUGAUUAGCUUGUUGGCGGGGUAACGGCCCACCAAGGCUACGAUCAGUAGGGGUUCUGAGAGGAAGGUCCCCCACAUUGGAACUGAGACACGGUCCAAACUCCUACGG
RNAcentral lists this ribosomal RNA (336 nucleotides) under uncultured bacterium. RNAcentral's name for it is "bacterial SSU rRNA". It matches the Rfam family "Bacterial small subunit ribosomal RNA", at positions 18 to 344 of the family's 1533-position model. The record is from RNAcentral.